Molecule: ribosomal RNA, 583 nt
Filed under: Macrophomina phaseolina
Lineage: Eukaryota; Fungi; Ascomycota; Dothideomycetes; Botryosphaeriales; Botryosphaeriaceae
Description: eukaryotic LSU rRNA
Rfam family: 5.8S ribosomal RNA (bases 213-366)
Source: RNAcentral
UCCGUAGGUGAACCUGCGGAAGGAUCAUUACCGAGUUGAUUCGGGCUCCGUCCCGAUCCUCCCACCCUUUGUAUACCUACCUCUGUUGCUUUGGCGGGCCGCGGUCUUCCGCGGCCGCCCCCCGAUUUUGGGGGGUGGCUAGUGCCCGCCAGAGGACUAUCAAACUCCAGUCAGUAAACGUUGCAGUCUGAAAAAAAUAUUAAAUAAACUAAAACUUUCAACAACGGAUCUCUUGGUUCUGGCAUCGAUGAAGAACGCAGCGAAAUGCGAUAAGUAAUGUGAAUUGCAGAAUUCAGUGAAUCAUCGAAUCUUUGAACGCACAUUGCGCCCCUUGGUAUUCCGGGGGGCAUGCCUGUUCGAGCGUCAUUUCAACCCUCAAGCUCUGCUUGGUAUUGGGCACCGUCCUUUGCGGGCGCGCCUCAAAGACCUCGGCGGUGGCGUCUUGCCUCAAGCGUAGUAGAAUACACCUCGCUUCGGAGCGUAAGGCGUCGCCCGCCGGACGAACCUUCUGAACUUUUCUCAAGGUUGACCUCGGAUCAGGUAGGGAUACCCGCUGAACUUAAGCAUAUCAAUAGGCGGAGGA